UGUUGAACCAUUAGUUACACAUUUGAGGUUAGCUCUCUUGAUCCAGUAUUUCACAUUGUAAAAUUAUUCAUUGUUACGGUACACAUUGUCAAAAUUAAAAACGUAGUCCUUUUAGAAGAUAAAAGAUAUUGUAAAGGAACUGGAUGUUAGACCAAGAUGGGCGAAAACUGGAGGAAGACAUUAGCUUAUAAAUAUUGAGCAAUUUUAAACUGUGCCAUAGGCUGCACUUAUUAAAUGGGUGAUACUUCAAAUGGUGGCUGACAAUUCACAUGGGGCCCAUUGUUUGCGAUGGGUUGGCCCGGCCCCUGAACAACCCAUGUAUUAUGAAAUCAAAUCAGGUAAUAACAAGCGACUCAAAUGAACAUCAACAUUCACUUUGGACCAACGCAUUAAAACAGCACUCAACUUGUAGUCUCUAUCACACUUUGCGCUAUCCAGAAGUGUUAAUUAUAGAAGUAAAAAUGCAUCAACUCUCGAAAAACAAUCUGUUGGUAAUGACCAUCGCAAAGUGUCAUAGUUAUGAUUGCAUGCUAUUCCACUCUUAACCACGUAAUUAAAUAAGAGAAGAGACAAUGACUCAUCUAGCAAAAGCUAGUGUUUUUUAGCACUGUUUUAAUUUGCAAUGAGGUAAUAGGCCUAUGUCACGCAACAAUUGAAGACCGGAAGAACAUCGUACGACGUACGACGUACGACGACGUCCUUAGGAUCGUACAUCAACACUGACGUGUCCAAACAUCUAAGGUCCAAACUACGUAAGGGAUAUAAGUUCUUCUGGGAGAAGUACAUUUUUAAUGACAGAGGUAAGUGUUUUAAUUCUGUUGACACUGUGUAGCUUGACUGUGACAGAUGGCACUAAGUGUAAUACAUGUCAGUUAAAACGUAUCCUUUUUAAUUAAUCGCAAAAUAUUAUUUACACUGGUAGGAAUAAAUAUUUAGUUUGAGUGUCUCUGAAACUUUGCCUGACGAACCACAAGAUGUUUGGUAUAGGUAGGUAGGCACUGCCUACCGUACAUGCAAGUGUCGAUAGCAGUUCAGAUUAGCUCCAGGCUACUGUCAGAACAUAGUGGCUGGGUGGCUGUCAUAGGCUACCAAUGCCCAUACAUUUUGCUGUAUGAUGUGUUAAUCUUUCCCUCUCUUACUGCAGUGUCAGAUUUAGUUAAUUUGGAAGUAGCAGUUUGGGCAAACUGCUACUGUUCCCAGAAGAAAACCGAUGAGCCUCACAACCUGCAGGUUACAGUGCUAGGAAGUCAGGCCUAGUCUGAAAUCAAACUCUAUCUCGCUUUUCGUAGUCUUUUGUGAAUCAAUGGGACUGUUACUUAGGCCUACCUUUCUGACCACGUUAAUAAGAUUUACAUUUUGGGAUUCAAACAACAGGCCCACCUCGUAACAUAUAGCCUAAUGGAUAGCCUAGAGCAUGGUUUCAGACCUUCACAGAUUCAGGUGCAUGUUCAGUCUGUGUGUGUUUUUAUUAUUAUUGUUUCUUGUUGCUGUUCCAAAAUGCUCUCUCUUUCUCCAGAUCUGCUGUUGCAGAUGAUAAUGUUGUGUUUCAUGUCUGCUGUUGCAGAUUGUAAUGUUUUGUUUGAUAUCUGCUCUUCCAGACACAUGACUACCACUUCACAGGGGAGAAAAGCGUGCCAACACCUCUGUCGUGCACCAGUGUUCUGCAGUCGUGGACCAAGGACACUGGGGAUUCGCUCCAGGGGAUUCGCCCGGAACCCACUGACCAACUUGUGGUCAGGAAACCCAAGGUAUGGGUUAGGUGUUUUAUUUGAACACAUACAUGGACACAUAUCUCCUGAAUGCCAAAUAAAUAUGGCCGAGGGACACACACACACCCCAUUUCAUUUAUUUCUGCUAAAUGUAUAUAUUUAAAUUUAUAUUUUAAUCAAAGAAUUGGAAACGAACAUUCCUGAACAUUUGUUUAAGGUAACACACUCUGAGCACCUUUAAAACAAGACUGAAGACUUUUAUGUUUGCAUUAGCUUUCUGCUAAAUCUUAAA
Gadus macrocephalus (Pacific cod) is the source of this 2001-nucleotide long non-coding RNA. RefSeq lists it as uncharacterized. Lineage: Eukaryota; Metazoa; Chordata; Actinopteri; Gadiformes; Gadidae. The record is from RefSeq and is a predicted model, not a curated record. The transcript has 2 exons.